Astatotilapia calliptera (eastern happy) is the source of this 1086-nucleotide long non-coding RNA. The record is from Ensembl. NCBI's taxonomy places the organism in Eukaryota, Metazoa, Chordata, Actinopteri, Cichliformes, Cichlidae.
UGUGACUGACACUUGAGAACACUAAUAUUCCCUGUCCGAUUAUAAUCCCUGUAGGCGACCUCAUUAGCCAGGCAUCCGCACUGAACCCUGGCUGAGUAGGGUCUAGGAGCUCGGCUGUCAGUCAACACCUUUUUCUUCAAACAAAGGGCAUCAGGGAGUAAUGAUCCGACUUGUUCUCAGUUUUGGAAUUUUUGUAGACUUAUGCAUGCAAGCAUGCAUGCAUUUAUGACACUUUAUCUCAGUGAUGAAAUGUUUUGGACACAAAUCAAACAGCAAUACAUUACACACAUGUGAAAGAAAUGGAGAAAAUUAGAAUAGGGAUUUUUAACUUCAGAGUGCAGUAAUCUUUCUUUAUCAUUCUCAGAAUAUGCGGUUUAGAAAAGAGCGCAACUUUUGAAAAUCACUUGUAAAACUAACCACACAUCUAUUUAGGGACUGCACUCACAUGCUAUUUUGCCCUGUUUACUGACUGUGGCCCUUAUUCCACUAAAAUAAAAGUAAAAUAAAAAAUAAAUAAAUAAAAAAAACUUAUUAAAAGAUUAAAAACUACAAUAAUACUGCGCCCAUUAAAAAUCAUGCCAACUUUAAACACAUCACAUUGCCUUCAUUUCUUAGACGUGUUUCUUAAACAUCACUUGGAUGUUGCUGUUACUGUCACAUUACAUUUUUUGUAUUAAAUUCAAUAGUCUACAAUUUAGACUUUAUUUGCAUUACAAAGGUGCUUCAGUUAUCUGCACACCAGGUAGAUAGAAAGAAGGGAAAAAAAUCUAACAUGUUUUUUUUUUCUUCUCGUGCACAUUACUUUAAUUUUUAUUGUACAAAAGGACAAAAACACGAUGGUAAAGUUCAAACUGCAUCCAGGACAGAAACAACUGUAUAUAUAUACUGUAUUGCUAAUAGAAGUCUGGCUCUUCUGCACACACUGCAUGCUAACACAAAUCCAGCCAAGAACACAUAAUGAUGAUGAAGCUACGUGUGUGCUAACCCCAGCCCAGCAGCCAGACCCUGAACUUCAACAGGUAGCGAUGAGUCUCCAUUUCUACCUGUUCAUGCUUCUAAAGUAGAAUUAGAGUUAUUGUAGAUCUC